Long non-coding RNA from Hemicordylus capensis (graceful crag lizard), 549 nucleotides. RefSeq lists it as uncharacterized. The record is from RefSeq and is a predicted model, not a curated record. NCBI's taxonomy places the organism in Eukaryota, Metazoa, Chordata, Lepidosauria, Squamata, Cordylidae. The transcript has 3 exons.
GCCUUGGGGCUGGGCAGGGGGCAAUGGGGAGUCACGUGAGGUGCCUCUGGGGGGCCCCUCCAGGCAGUGGGGCCCCCAGACAACUGUCUCCCCUUGCCCUAUCAUUGUUACGCGCCUGCCUUUCAGCAUCUUCCUAUAUCGCUGCCGCCUGAUAUAGGUGUUUCCCAUAGUCUGGGAAACAUACCAGCGGGGAUUCAAACCAGCAACCUCUUGCUCCCUAGGCAAGUUACUUUCCCACUGCACCUCAGCCUUGCAAUAAUCACUCAAUGCCCCAGAAUGGAAAAAAUGCUGAUGGUAAGGCAAAAUUCUGAAGGAUGCAGAAAAGUAAUUGAAUGAGGACCCUGAAGACAUACCUAUUUUCCCAGGUCUUCAACUGAUACCAAAUUUUAAAAUUUUAAUGUGUCUUUUUAUCUAUUUGAUUUUUAUCUUUUUAAUGAAUUUUAUAUGUUUUAUAUUUUAUAUUAUGUUUUAAUUCUGUACACCGCCUAGAGAUGUUGAUAUUGGGCGGUAUAUAAAUUCAAUAAAUAAAUAAAUAAAUAAAUACAUCAA